CAGCCGUAAACUAUGCUCGCUAGGUGUCAGGGACGGUGCGACCGUUCCUGGUGCCGCAGGGAAGCCGUGAAGCGAGCCACCUGGGAAGUACGGUCGCAAGGCUGAAACUUAAAGGAAUUGGCGGGGGAGCACUACAACGGGUGGAGCCUGCGGUUUAAUUGGACUCAACGCCGGAAAACUCACCGGGACCGACAGCAACAUGAAGGCCAAGCUGAAGACUUUGCCGGAUUAGCUGAGAGGUGGUGCAUGGCGUAGUCGUGU
Molecule: ribosomal RNA, 261 nt
Filed under: uncultured archaeon
Lineage: Archaea
Description: partial 16S ribosomal RNA
Rfam family: Archaeal small subunit ribosomal RNA
Source: RNAcentral